This 1259-nucleotide ribosomal RNA is filed under the name uncultured bacterium. RNAcentral describes it as "bacterial SSU rRNA". It matches the Rfam family "Bacterial small subunit ribosomal RNA", at positions 91 to 1367 of the family's 1533-position model. The record is from RNAcentral.
CUUAGUGGCGAACGGGUGAGUAACGCGUGAGCAAUCUGCCUCAGAGUGGGGGACAACAGUUGGAAACGACUGCUAAUACCGCAUAAGCCCACAGCACCGCAUGGUGCAGCGGGAAAAGAUUUAUCGCUUUGAGAUGAGCUCGCGUCCAAUUAGCUAGUUGGUGAGGUAACGGCCCACCAAGGCGACGAUUGGUAGCCGGACUGAGAGGUUGAACGGCCACAUUGGGACUGAGAUACGGCCCAGACUCCUACGGGAGGCAGCAGUGGGGAAUAUUGCACAAUGGGGGAAACCCUGAUGCAGCGACGCCGCGUGGAGGAAGAAGGUCUUCGGAUUGUAAACUCCUGUUGUUAGGGACGAUAAUGACGGUACCUAACAAGGAAGCACCGGCUAACUACGUGCCAGCAGCCGCGGUAAAACGUAGGGUGCAAGCGUUGUCCGGAAUUACUGGGUGUAAAGGGAGCGCAGGCGGGCAUGCAAGUUGGAAGUGAAAACUAUGGGGCUCAACCCAUAGCCUGCUUUCAAAACUGCGUGUCUUGAGUAGUGCAGAGGUAGGCGGAAUUCCCGGUGUAGCGGUGGAAUGCGUAGAUAUCGGGAGGAACACCAGUGGCGAAGGCGGCCUACUGGGCACCAACUGACGCUGAGGCUCGAAAGCAUGGGUAGCAAACAGGAUUAGAUACCCUGGUAGUCCAUGCCGUAAACGAUGAUUACUAGGUGUUGGAGGAUUGACCCCUUCAGUGCCGCAGUUAACACAAUAAGUAAUCCACCUGGGGAGUACGACCGCAAGGUUGAAACUCAAAGGAAUUGACGGGGGCCCGCACAAGCAGUGGAGUAUGUGGUUUAAUUCGAAGCAACGCGAAGAACCUUACCAGGUCUUGACAUCCUUCUGACCGCUCCGUAAUGGGAGCUUUCCUUCGGGACAGAAGAGACAGGUGGUGCAUGGUUGUCGUCAGCUCGUGUCGUGAGAUGUUGGGUUAAGUCCCGCAACGAGCGCAACCCCUAUCUUCAGUAGCCAGCAGGUAAGGCUGGGCACUCUGGAGAGACUGCCAGGGAUAACCUGGAGGAAGGUGGGGACGACGUCAAAUCAUCAUGCCCCUUAUGAUCUGGGCGACGCACGUGCUACAAUGGCGGUCACAAAGUGAGGCAAACCCGCGAGGGGGAGCAAACCACAAAAAGGCCGUCCCAGUUCGGACUGUAGUCUGCAACCCGACUACACGAAGCUGGAAUCGCUAGUAAUCGCGAAUCAGAAUGUCGCGGUGAAU